UCUUGGAGUAGGUCAUUGGGUGGAUCCUUUAUUUCCCUAUGUGGGCCACUGGAUGGCUCCUCCAUGUCU
This 69-nucleotide microRNA precursor is filed under the name Equus caballus (horse). RNAcentral describes it as "Eca-Mir-432_pre stem-loop". It matches the Rfam family "mir-432 microRNA precursor family", at positions 14 to 82 of the family's 87-position model. RNAcentral also lists the same sequence under 1 other name. The record is from RNAcentral. Lineage: Eukaryota; Metazoa; Chordata; Mammalia; Perissodactyla; Equidae.